GUUCAAAUAGGGUACCUGCUGGUAGCUCAGCACUUGUGUACUUGACUACUUUCUGCUGAGGAGUCUUGCUUGCCGGUAAUCUAGAUUUAUGCCACAAGAAGGAAUUUAACAAACAAUAUUAAGAAAAUUGCGUGGGAGGAGACUUGCCUUUCAUUUGAAGGGAAACAAUACAGUCAUCACACUAACAUCACCCACUUCUGGAAAAUUAAUGGGCGAUCUUGAGAGCAAGGACAGGAGUUGUAUUCCCAAGUCCUUUGGCAGUUCUAAAGAAGCUACAUAAACUUUCAGUGCCUCAGUUUCUACUUCCUAAGGUAGCUGUCACUCUUUGCUACAGAAACUCAACCUGCAGCAGAUUGGCUGGAUUGAAACAGAAGAGAAGCACAAAAUCUGGGGAUGCCAUUACCUCCAAGUUCCCUUGAUGCAACCAUGCAAUCAACUUGUCACCUUCUACCCUAUUCUGAUAGUUUUCUAUGAAAGACAUAAAAUACACUGAAGAAGCUGGACAAACUACUGAUAUGAUGCUCAUGUUCAGACUAAA
Molecule: long non-coding RNA, 538 nt
Organism: Passer domesticus (house sparrow)
Lineage: Eukaryota; Metazoa; Chordata; Aves; Passeriformes; Passeridae
Exons: 4
Source: RefSeq, a predicted model, not a curated record